CUGAUUUAACGAAAAAAAAUCUGACGAAAAGAAAAAAAUGAAACCACAUAGUACUAAAUUGAUAUAUUUUAAAUCACAAAAUACUAAAAUAAGAACGUUUGAAACCACAGAGUACUAAAUUGAUACACUUUAAACUAAAGGCUACUAAAGUAAAAAAGUUUGAAACUACAGGGGUAGUAUUUGAUGUUUACCCUAAAAUUAUUUACACCCUUGGUCUU
Molecule: long non-coding RNA, 218 nt
Filed under: Ananas comosus (pineapple)
Lineage: Eukaryota; Viridiplantae; Streptophyta; Magnoliopsida; Poales; Bromeliaceae
Description: long non-coding RNA (ACOM_LNC005981)
Source: RNAcentral